UAAGGAAUAUUGGUCAAUGGACGCAAGUCUGAACCAGCCAUGCCGCGUGAAGGAUGAAGGUCCUCUGGAUUGUAAACUUCUUUUAUCUGGGACGAAAAAAGGGCUUUCUAGCUCGACUGACGGUACCAGAGGAAUAAGCACCGGCUAACUCCGUGCCAGCAGCCGCGGUAAUACGGAGGGUGCAAGCGUUAUCCGGAUUCACUGGGUUUAAAGGGAGCGUAGGCGGGCAGGUAAGUCAGUGGUGAAAUCUCCGGGCUUAACCCGGAAACUGCCAUUGAUACUAUCUGUCUUGAAUAUCCUGGAGGUAAGCGGAAUAUGUCAUGUAGCGGUGAAAUGCUUAGAUAUGACAUAGAACACCCAUUGCGAAGGCAGCUUACUACGGGAUGAUUGACGCUGAGGCUCGAAAGCGUGGGGAUCAAACAGGAUUAGAUACCCUGGUAGUCCACGCCCUAAACGAUGGAUACUCGACAUCAGCGAUACACUGUUGGUGUCUGAGCGAAAGCAUUAAGUAUCCCACCUGGGAAGUACGACCGCAAGGUUG
Molecule: ribosomal RNA, 541 nt
Filed under: uncultured bacterium
Lineage: Bacteria
Description: bacterial SSU rRNA
Rfam family: Bacterial small subunit ribosomal RNA
Source: RNAcentral